RNAcentral lists this ribosomal RNA (253 nucleotides) under uncultured bacterium. Its description in RNAcentral is "partial 16S ribosomal RNA". It matches the Rfam family "Bacterial small subunit ribosomal RNA", at positions 524 to 776 of the family's 1533-position model. The record is from RNAcentral.
AACGUAGGAGGCGAGCGUUAUCCGGAGUUACUGGGCGUAAAGAGCGUGUAGGCGGGUACGCAAGUUUGGGGUUAAAGCUCCCGGCUAAACUGGGAGAGUGCGCUGAAGACUGCGUGUCUAGAGGCGAGUAGAGGGACGUGGAAUUCCGGGUGUAGUGGUGAAAUGCGUAGAGAUCCGGAGGAACACCAGUGGCGAAGGCGACUUCCUGGCCUGUUCUUGACGCUGAGGCGCGAAAGCUAGGGUAGCAAACGGG